CAACCUGCCGUCUACUCUUGGACAGCCUUCUGAAAGGAAGAUUAAUACAAGAUGGCAUCAUGAGUCCGCAUGUUCACAUGAUUAAAGGUAUUCCGGUAGACGAUGGGGAUGCGUUCCAUUAGAUAGUAGGCGGGGUAACGGCCCACCUAGUCUUCGAUGGAUAGGGGUUCUGAGAGGAAGGUCCCCCACAUUGGAACUGAGACACGGUCCAAACUCCUACGGGAGGCAGCAGUGAGGAAUAUUGGUCAAUGGGCGAGAGCCUGAACCAGCCAAGUAGCGUGAAGGAUGACUGCCCUAUGGGUUGUAAACUUCUUUUAUAAAGGAAUAAAGUCGGGUAUGUAUACCCGUUUGCAUGUACUUUAUGAAUAAGGAUCGGCUAACUCCGUGCCAGCAGCCGCGGUAAUACGGAGGAUCCGAGCGUUAUCCGGAUUUAUUGGGUUUAAAGGGAGCGUAGAUGGAUGUUUAAGUCAGUUGUGAAAGUUUGCGGCUCAACCGUAAAAUUGCAGUUGAUACUGGAUAUCUUGAGUGCAGUUGAGGCAGGCGGAAUUUGUGGUGUAGCGGUGAAAUGCUUAGAUAUCACGAAGAACUCCGAUUG
This 595-nucleotide ribosomal RNA is filed under the name uncultured Bacteroidota bacterium. RNAcentral describes it as "bacterial SSU rRNA". It matches the Rfam family "Bacterial small subunit ribosomal RNA", at positions 122 to 715 of the family's 1533-position model. The record is from RNAcentral. Lineage: Bacteria; Pseudomonadati; Bacteroidota.